CUUUAUUGGAGAGUUUGAUCCUGGCUCAGGAUGAACGCUGGCGGCGUGCCUAAUACAUGCAAGUCGAGCGAAUGGAUUAAGAGCUUGCUCUUAU
This 94-nucleotide ribosomal RNA is filed under the name Bacillus cereus. RNAcentral describes it as "partial 16S ribosomal RNA". It matches the Rfam family "Bacterial small subunit ribosomal RNA", at positions 1 to 89 of the family's 1533-position model. Lineage: Bacteria; Bacillati; Bacillota; Bacilli; Caryophanales; Bacillaceae. The record is from RNAcentral.